CGGGGGAGCAAGCGUUGUUCGGAUUUACUGGGCGUAAAGGGCGCGUAGGCGGCCACCGCAAGUCGACUGUGAAAUCUCCGGGCUUAACUCGGAAAGGUCAGCCGAUACUGCGGGGCUAGAGUGCAGAAGGGGCAACUGGAAUUCUCGGUGUAGCGGUGAAAUGCGUAGAUAUCGAGAGGAACACCUGCGGCGAAGGCGGGUUGCUGGGCUGACACUGACGCUGAGGCGCGAAAGCUAGGGGAGCGAACGGGAUUAGAUACCCCGGUAGUCCUAGCCUUAAACGAUGAAUGCUUGGUGUCUGGGGGUUUUAUAGUCCCCGGGUGCCGUCGCUAACGCUUUAAGCAUUCCGCCUGGGGAGUACGGUCGCAAGACUG
RNAcentral lists this ribosomal RNA (374 nucleotides) under uncultured organism. RNAcentral describes it as "bacterial SSU rRNA". It matches the Rfam family "Bacterial small subunit ribosomal RNA", at positions 527 to 896 of the family's 1533-position model. The record is from RNAcentral.